CACGUAGGGCGCAAGCGUUGUCCGGAAUUAUUGGGCGUAAAGAGCUCGUAGGCGGUCUGUUGCGUCCGCUGUGAAAACCCGGGGCUUAACCCUGGGCUGGCAGUGGAUACGGACAGACUAGAGGUAGGUAGGGGAGAAUGGAAUUCCCGGUGUAGCGGUGAAAUGCGCAGAUAUCGGGAGGAACACCGGUGGCGAAGGCGGCAUCCUGGACCGGCAUUGACGCUGAGGCGCGAAAGCUAGGGGAGCAAACGGG
This 253-nucleotide ribosomal RNA is filed under the name uncultured bacterium. Its description in RNAcentral is "partial 16S ribosomal RNA". It matches the Rfam family "Bacterial small subunit ribosomal RNA", at positions 524 to 776 of the family's 1533-position model. The record is from RNAcentral.